GGCUAUUUAGUAUUGCUGAUUCUGACAAGGGAAACAGGUGAAAAUCCUGUGCUGACGCGCAGCUGUAAAGUCCUACAAGAUAAUGCAUUAUGUCACUGGCACGAACGCGCUCUGCGAGAGCAGACACGGCUGGGAAGACGCAUUAUCCGGGCUGAGCCAGAAGACCUGCUGAUGAAG
This 177-nucleotide non-coding RNA is filed under the name pig gut metagenome. The record is from RNAcentral.